UACGGAGGGUGCAAGCGUUAUCCGGAAUCAUUGGGUUUAAAGGGUCCGUAGGCGGUUUUGUAAGUCAGUGGUGAAAGCCCAUCGCUCAACGGUGGAACGGCCAUUGAUACUGCAAGACUUGAAUUAUUGUGAAGUAACUAGAAUAUGUAGUGUAGCGGUGAAAUGCUUAGAGAUUACAUGGAAUACCAAUUGCGAAGGCAGGUUACUAACAAUAUAUUGACGCUGAUGGACGAAAGCGUGGGUAGCGAACAGG
Molecule: ribosomal RNA, 253 nt
Filed under: uncultured bacterium
Lineage: Bacteria
Description: partial 16S ribosomal RNA
Rfam family: Bacterial small subunit ribosomal RNA
Source: RNAcentral